This 720-nucleotide ribosomal RNA is filed under the name Guptibacillus hwajinpoensis. Its description in RNAcentral is "bacterial SSU rRNA". It matches the Rfam family "Bacterial small subunit ribosomal RNA", at positions 52 to 753 of the family's 1533-position model. Lineage: Bacteria; Bacillati; Bacillota; Bacilli; Caryophanales; Guptibacillaceae. The record is from RNAcentral.
UAAUGCAGUCGAGCGAAGAGAUGGGAGCUUGCUCCCUGAUCUUAGCGGCGGACGGGUGAGUAACACGUGGGCAACCUGCCCUGCAGACUGGGAUAACUCCGGGAAACCGGAGCUAAUACCGGGUAAUACAUCGCACCGCAUGGUGCAAUGUUGAAAGUUGGCUUUCUGAGCUAACACUGCAGGAUGGGCCCGCGGCGCAUUAGCUAGUUGGUAAGGUAAUGGCUUACCAAGGCGACGAUGCGUAGCCGACCUGAGAGGGUGAUCGGCCACACUGGGACUGAGACACGGCCCAGACUCCUACGGGAGGCAGCAGUAGGGAAUCUUCCGCAAUGGACGAAAGUCUGACGGAGCAACGCCGCGUGAGUGACGAAGGCCUUCGGGUCGUAAAGCUCUGUUGUUAGGGAAGAACAAGUACCGUUCGAAUAGGGCGGUACCUUGACGGUACCUAACCAGAAAGCCACGGCUAACUACGUGCCAGCAGCCGCGGUAAUACGUAGGUGGCAAGCGUUGUCCGGAAUUAUUGGGCGUAAAGCGCGCGCAGGCGGUCUUUUAAGUCUGAUGUGAAAGCCCACGGCUCAACCGUGGAGGGUCAUUGGAAACUGGAGGACUUGAGUGCAGAAGAGGAGAGUGGAAUUCCACGUGUAGCGGUGAAAUGCGUAGAUAUGUGGAGGAACACCAGUGGCGAAGGCGGCUCUCUGGUCUGUAACUGACGCUGAGGCG